CCUACGGGAGGCAGCAGUGGGGAAUUUUGGACAAUGGGCGCAAGCCUGAUCCAGCAAUGCCGCGUGCAGGAUGAAGGCCUUCGGGUUGUAAACUGCUUUUGUACGGAACGAAACGGUUCUCUUUAAUACAGGGGGCUAAUGACGGUACCGUAAGAAUAAGCACCGGCUAACUACGUGCCAGCAGCCGCGGUAAUACGUAGGGUGCGAGCGUUAAUCGGAAUUACUGGGCGUAAAGCGUGCGCAGGCGGUUAUAUAAGACAGAUGUGAAAUCCCCGGGCUCAACCUGGGACCUGCAUUUGUGACUGUAUAGCUAGAGUACGGUAGAGGGGGAUGGAAUUCCGCGUGUAGCAGUGAAAUGCGUAGAUAUGCGGAGGAACACCGAUGGCGAAGGCAAUCCCCUGGACCUGUACUGACGCUCAUGCACGAAAGCGUGGGGAGCAAACAGGAUUAGAUACCCUGGUAGUCCACGCCCUAAACGAUGUCAACUGGUUGUUGGGUCUUCACUGACUCAGUAACGAAGCUAACGCGUGAAGUUGACCGCCUGGGGAGUACGGCCGCAAGGUUGAAACUCAAAUGAAAUUGACCGGNNGAGAGAGCGACGACGACGACGAGGGAGGAGG
This 620-nucleotide ribosomal RNA is filed under the name uncultured bacterium. Its description in RNAcentral is "bacterial SSU rRNA". It matches the Rfam family "Bacterial small subunit ribosomal RNA", at positions 338 to 1414 of the family's 1533-position model. The record is from RNAcentral.